Long non-coding RNA from Amphiprion ocellaris (clown anemonefish), 5828 nucleotides. Lineage: Eukaryota; Metazoa; Chordata; Actinopteri; Pomacentridae. The record is from Ensembl.
GAUGAACUGAAUGUUUCAUCUCAAGCAUGGCUGGGUUACCCUGUCAGGUGGCCCCAAUAAAAAUAUUACCUGCUGUGCACCUAUAGUGGUAAUUUGAUAAAUGAUAAUUUGAUAAAUGACCAUUCUAAUUAGUACGAUGUCCAAUGUGAGCACAGGUCUCUUCUAAAGGACAGUGCCACAAAAUUAGGCAAUACUGCAGGGCCCUGGGUAGUUGAUGUGUUAAAUGAGAGAUUCAAGUUCUUGUACAUUAGAAGAAAGCCCCUUUUUGGAGCCCUUGGUGGUCUGUGGCUCCUAGGCAGCGGCCCGCUUUCCCCAGCUUUGGUCUUGUGAUAACAUCAUCUUGAGUCAGGUCAUCAGAAAUCAGGAGAACUCAUUAUUCGUCACUGUGUGAUCUUCUACUGCAGUGGCUUUCAAACUGUGAGACUGGCCCUUCUGGGGGAGCAAAGAGUCACAGGAGGGGGGACAAGGGAAAAAUACAGAGUGGAACUAUGACUAAUGAACCAAAUGGUUUCACUAAAGAACCUUCACACAAUGGUGGCUGUCUUGAAAAAAAAGAUGAAGACAAAGAUGCUGACAUUGAGGAUCCAGACAAAUGAAAGAGCCCCAGUUCUCUUUAUUUAUUACCUUCACAAUAUGUGUGAGCGUGUGUGUGUGUGCGUGUGUGUGUGUGUGUGUGUGUGUGUGUGUGUGUGUGUGUGUGUGUGUGUGUGUGUGUGUGUGUGUGUGUGUGUGUGUGUGUGUGUGUGUGUGUCUGUGUGUGUGUGUGUGUGUGUGCGCACAUGACAGAGAGUGAGCAUUGAGCAUGUGUGUAUUAUGAACGGUACCUAAGAUUUCAGGCUAUCAUUUGCAAAUUUUGUUUACUUUUUAUAAGGUUCCAAUAACUCCUAUAUCAUUGUCACAGUAUAAACAAAAGGACUUUACUAUUGGUACAUAUGGUGUUUUGUGUUUGUAACUAGCCUCCUAUUUAAGAAUGUAUAUUUGUAUGUAUGAUAUACUCAUCUAGAAACUAUAUAAUGGACAGUUUUAAUAUUGCUUCACCUUCUCACCACUAUACUGCUUUUGCCAAGACACAACACUCAGCAAACACAAAGGAGACACGCACAUGAGCAAAAACACAUCUAUAAAACAGAAAAAGAUCAAAGAAGACAAUGAAUCCUAAAGAGUCAGUUUUCCAUCUUUUUCUAAACAGGUUGAAGUCUGAUUUGUGCAACUGUAGACAAUAAUAAAAAUAAUCAUUUUAAUAAUAAUGAUGAUGGAGGGCUUUCAGGUGAUGUAACACAUCCUCUGGCAGCCAUAUUGGAGGUCCUCAGUUCUUUAAUGCCUGAGAGCAGCUGUUGUUUUAAAUGUACAACUCAGCUGACUCAGCAGUCUCAGCAUGUUUACUUUGCAUCUGCUUUAAAGGUUGAACUUCUUACUAAAUGACUGGUAUAUGUGUUAACUGUUGUAAUUGUCAGGCAACUGUUGCCAUUUUGGCAUCAACAAAUCUCAUGUAAACACUGCGGCACAUAUCUUGUAGGUAGCAGUAAAUAGCAGCUAGUAGUUGUAUAUGAACAUAUUGAUCUUUAUCCGAUAUUCUUCUUUCCCUCCUAAUUUGCCAGCUGAAGAGGGUUGAACACAUGUAAACACGUUUCUUUUACAGCCUUAUUUUGGAAGUUCUGAUCAUCAUUCCCAUCCAUUAUCUGAGCAUUUUAACAAAUGUUGUAAUUAACUGACUGUACUGUAAAACUGUGUGCAGUCACAUGAAAGGUCAAAGGAAUAAGUAGCUUACAGUGGACAUUUUGUUCAACUUUGGGCUUGAUUGAAGUGUAGGUCUGCACCAUGUAUUACUGAGAGUAGGGAGGUGUUCACAUCAAUGACGUACACUUUUUAUGAUUGUCCUUUGCAGUGCUGAAACUAAAAUUGCAUCCAAAUGGUCUUUCCCUCAUUGAAAACCAUUUCAAAAUUUGUAAAACGACAGUUCUGUUUUCUUGAAAUGUGGUUAAAAUUAGCACCACAUUUGGAUGGAAACUUGCAAAAGCUAUUUUUAUUUGUGACAUUAUCACAGCUCAAGGAAAGGUACACUAAUGUGCAUAUGUGCAGGGCCACAAAGUGCAUAAAAACAGAAAGCAUUUUGUCACAUUCACCGGGUUAGCAAUUGGUAUCCACUUCACUGCAACACAUCCACUGGCUAAUUGUGCAUACAUUUGCCAUCAUUUUCACUUCAAAAUUAUAAUGUAGUUUAUACCUGGAUUGAAUUAUUGGUACUCUAGUAUAGUGGUGGUUAUUCUGGAUAUAUAUAUAUAUAUAUAUAUAUAUAUAUAUAUAUAUGGCAUCAAAAUUACAGUUAAUCAAAGGUUAUCAUAAUGCAUGAGAAAGAUGGUGAACACUCCCAAAGUAAAGCCCUGGUUUUAGGAAAAUCCGGAUGAUAAUGAGUCUCCUUUAAUUUUCCAGUGGACCUCCAUGAUGGAACCAGAUCUGGCUAAUAGGAAUCUUGUGUUGCAACUUGAAAAGCCUGUCUGCCACAAAUGAUCUCUGCUGGAGGUGUUGACGGUGUAAACAGAACACAACAGGGACAGCACCAACUGGUGUGCAUAAGAAUAUUGAUGCAAUACAUGAUUGUCAACAUCUGUGUGCCUGAUGAGAACAUAUGCUAGUGUGUGUGAGUGUAUCAAACAUGGGCAAUAGCUAAGCAUUGGUGCUUCCAUCCAUGUAUAUGAGCUAAUGUACAAACGAUAAGACACCAAGACAAUAGGCUGUGCAGCCUGUUGUUCCAGCCCACGACAAUCCUCGUUUCUCUUUAUCUGAUACCAUCAAAAGAUCUGCAAUAUUAUGUCAGAAACGAUGAAAGAUGAUCUGUGUCAAACCUGCAACUUUUUGUUCAAUUCCUGAGUCAAAUGUUGCAACUGAUCUAGAGCUUUAGUUAUCUGACAAAUUAGGCGAGUGUAGGGAUGAAUGAUUUGCAGUGUGUGUGUGUGUGUGUGUGUGUGUGUGCUGCAUGUGUAUUGUAGUUGGUGAAGAACUUUGAUCCGUCCCUAUACCACCAGCAUAUGCUCUCAUAUGCAGAGACCUUACCCAUAUGUGUGCCCCUAAAGAUGAUACAUGUUCUAAUGUUUUGGAAAAUUUUUAUGACACCAUGUCCAACGUCAGCUGUAUAAUCUAGUCUCAUCUGCAAAGAUGUUUAUAAUGGGUUUGGUCUUUUUUUGAUGUUUUGUGUGAAGAUAUCUGAAUAUUACAGCUUAGACGUAUGGUGAUAAUUGUGAAGUACUAUCAAUACAAUGACUUCCUCUUUAUCAGUCAGUUUGGAAAUAACUGAAAUAAUAUUAUUGGCCCUGCACUGUUGUUUAGCCAAAAAAAAAAGACAAGGCUGCAAAUCUGAUGCCAUGGAGAAAUAGAAGCUGUGGAUACUUAUCAUGUCACUCCACGGCCUCAGAAACUCACACAUGCAAACACAUACGCAUAUUAUAGAUGUCUUGCCUGCUGGGAUAAACCUGUCACACCCAUAUAGUCUCGUCAGCUACAGUACAGUAGAACCCUGCAGCCCCUUCAUGUCCCCCUCCAGCUGGAUUUUGCUUUGCAAUGUGUCAUAUUCAAGGAUGGCUUUGGAUUUUUUCAUGUCUGUCUUUAAUACAGCACUUCUGUAAUGUAAUCAUUCCUCUUCUCCAUUCCAGCCAUUAGGUGGUACUUUUAUAACUUGGGUAAAAAGUAAGAAGUAGCAUUCCAUAUCCCAGCUGUAGCUCAUAUGAGUCCUAAUUGAGUAGUUAUAUUCAUACAGGCAAUUAAGUCUAUUCUGAGGAGCUGGUUGAACCAAACCAGAGCUAAAAUGACAUUUGAUAGUUGGGAUGUUCAUGUGUUUCUGGUGCUGAAUGUGUUUACAGGCAGUUGUUUGCUAACAUUUUAGCCAUAAAAUUGAUCACACAUUAAGAUGAUCAAGACUCGUUAUUGACUAGUGUGAAUUUUGCAUACGUGGAAACCAUCAAAAGGCCUUUAGACAUAAUUCUGCUCCAAUGAAGACACAAAAAAGAAUGGCAAACAAAAACAUUAGAUCUGCGUGGAGCAAUUAUACAUAAAAGAAUCAGAAACGUGGUAUUUCCGUCAUGUUUUCUCGAGGGUUUUGCCUCUUUUAGAUUGUGAUAAAUGCACCAAACUGGAGAAUUACUGCCACUAAUUGGUCAUCAUGAUGCACCCAACUCCUGAAAUUCAUGUCAGUAGUGAAGUUUUUCUAAACUGGAUUUUUAAUAUUUGUUCUACAUUUGAAGAAUAGAAAUGAUCUCAUAAUAUUGAAUCUUGACUUGAACUUUGGAAUGCAUUUUUGCAAGGAUCAGCAUCUGUGGAUCUUGCUCCCUGUCCUUUACAGAGGUAGUCACUUGACAAAGGGAUCGUUUGGAGACCAAGUGGUGAGAGGAAAGGUGAUUACAGUGAGCUAUAAUACUUUCACUACACAAAUAGAAUGCAAGUAUUGUGUUAAGAUAGACUUGAAAAUGUGUGAACCCAUCCUUUAAAGAGGAAAACCCAGUGACGAGAAAGAGCUGGAGUCAUGCAGAGCUUUGACAUUUUAUCGAGACUGUGUUCCAAAUCCAGCUUCUUCGACCACAGAGAGAAGUGACUCUGAGGCAAAAUAAGUGAUUAUGGGCUAAACUCUCCCAACAGCGUUUUAAAAUGCACUUUAAAGAAAAAUCAUUUUGCCCUACAUUCCAGCAAGUAUGGUCACUUUAAAGCACUGGCUUUGCCAUUAAUGAUAAAUAUAUGAAUAUAAAUAUCUACCACCGUGCUUUGCCUGAUACAGCGCAAACUGGCCUUCCUCAUAAAUGUAAAUAUUGUCCCCGGUUUUGAACUUUUACCACAGAUUGAGGAGAGCUCGUAAAAAUGCUGUACUUGAAGUUAUCUCGCGGCUUUUCAGUGUCAUCCCUAGGCUGUGAUUGUGCGGCAGAAAAAAGGGGAGGAGAGGCAGUGGGUAAUGCCAGUAAAGCGGCGUGACAGAAGAGGGUUAAUAACAUCGAGCUCUGCUAAGAUUGCCCAGCCUCGUGUGGCUUUAAGGGAUUGCAGGCAGUAUUAGCAGCUGAAUAAUUAUUUUUGGUAUGUUUCGCCUUGUGUGCACACUUUCAGUGUGGCACAUAUUGCUUCUUUCACCCCCCCAACACUCUUCUGUGGAGUUUGGCAGCCUGCAGUCUUGUAUAAAACUUAUAUUUUUGAGUCCUGUGUGGGCUGAGUUCAAACUUUGUUCAAACAUGAAUGUUCUUCAUAUAUUUCAUAUACAGUCCAGUGACGGAAAGAUUCAGUGGAGUUGCACAUUUAGCACUGUGACAGAAAAAAAGAGAAAUCAGCAGAAACAUCAAAGGUGGAAAAUGAUGAGGUGAUGACAAACCUUCUAUGAAGUCAAAUAGUGAUGCUUCCACUAUGUUUGUAUACAGGGUUGUCCCCGUAAUGCUAUUAAAGAGAGCUCAUAUAUGAAUAUGCAUAUAUGAUGAAUAUAAAUAUGAGGUAUCUAUUUUUGGCAUUCUUCAUCAUGUGGAUAUAAGUGGUAUGAGUAGGAAAAGCCUCUAGGUUGGAUCCAACAUGCAUCCUCGCUGUGCUCAAUGAGUCUGUGUUUGCUACUUUUUUUCAAUGAAGCUUCUCUCGUGGUUUGGUUUUCUUUUUGUACGCUGCACUGAAAAUACAUCAUUUUCACAAGUGGUUUGGAAAACAGAAGUGUCACCAGUCACUUCAUCAAGUGAAAUAAUAUAUUAUACAGUAGAAUAGCCCUUGCAUUAUUUGUUACGACCUCUAUGUAAUGUUAUUAUGGAAGAUGUAAUGUCCUUCUGUAAAUGUUGUUUAAUGUUGUUUUACCUGAAAUAAAAUUUAUUAAUGCUUCA